UCUAACAUCGCAUCGCUUCAGCAAAAAUCGGUCGGAACCAGCCCAAGAAUGCGAUAAGAAGCGUAUGGCUGUUUUAGAGGUCCGCUCCAACAGCAGGCGGUACAUGUCUGCAGCUAUCGACUAAUAAUGAUGGACGUGACAUUAAAUGAAACUUUGUGCCCCGGAUCCUUUGUGUCUCGACCUGGAAAAAGAUGAUAGUGUUUCUUAUGCCCUCUGCGACUUGCUACGGCGAACAUGGGGCUUAUAUUACGGAUAACUUGUCUGUGAUUACAUUCAACAUCCAACUCAAUCGUCAAAAUGGUUCUUAAUAUGUUCUGGUCUUCGUUGAAUGGCUGUCGACAUCUCCUGAUUCGUCGAUUUUCUUUUACGAAGGUAUUUAAAGUCUGUAGUAUGCAGGGAAUAGCAAAACUGAAAUACAUUUUUAUUUUAUGAAAUAUCUUUUUAAGACGGAGUCUAGAUAAAAAAUGUUUCAUAUUAAAGCCUCUUCAUUUUUCUGUUUCUACAGCAAAAAGCUACUACAAA
This 522-nucleotide unclassified non-coding RNA is filed under the name Bombus terrestris (buff-tailed bumblebee). RNAcentral's name for it is "misc RNA ENSBTSG00005025779.1". The record is from RNAcentral. Lineage: Eukaryota; Metazoa; Arthropoda; Insecta; Hymenoptera; Apidae.